GCUGGGGUGAGGCUCAGCACGCAGAGGCGGGGGACAAACCCAGUGCCCCUGAGGCACUCAUGAGCUUUUCUGUGUGAAGACAUAAAGCCAGGAGCGAGCUGUUUCACGCAUCUGCUCCACAGCAUUUCCGUCCUGCUGCCGCCUCUGGGUCGCAGAUCCAUGCCGUCUCCCCAGCGCCCUCUGCAUCACGUGUGGGGUGGGGUCUGGAGGGGCCACCCACUUCCUGAAGCACUGUGGACCUCACAGUGACAGUGAGUCCAGUGUUGCAGCCAUCCUUUGUGGAGGCCGCUUGGUGUCCACAGUCGGCAGCAGGGCGUGGAUCCCGAGGUCCCCGUGAGGUGAAGUUGCCAUGAUCACGACUGCCUGCGGCCACACCAGUUUCCUUCCCUCGGCGAGGUGUCACAGGAACAGCCCAGACUGCACUGCUGUACGUCUGAAUGAAUGACUGGAUCUCACUACGCACACUACAGGAAAGACAGAGGUGAUGGAAAGUGACAGUGGACAUCCGCCACGCCCACUAAGUGCCUAAGUCAGCACCCAGUCGACAUCCGUGGGCAAUGAGGCGACCCCUCGAGGCCUGCACUGGGGAAACUAGUGCAGGAUUCCCCCACUUUGGUCACUUGGAGCUGGGAAGCUGCAUCCCAUGGCACCUGAGAGUGAGGGGCCAGUGAGAGAGCUGACCAACCACCCUUCCCCGUGAGUCACGUCUUCUGCGCGACGCUAGAAGCUCCCCCAGGUCCACUUCCGCUGAACGCGCUGUUGACCCCAGCACCUUUCAAGUCACACUCCACCUGCACCGCCCUGCCACCGGGCUGCGUGACUAGAACCUGACCUGACCCGAGGAGAAGGGGCCGUUUAAUCCUGCGAGAUUCGACUUUUCUUAAGCACACUUUGCCAUCAUCUUCCUCUGUAACUUAUUGUUCCACAAAAACACAAAAGUCACUAUCAGCAAACUGUGGAUAAAGAUGACACAAAGAGAGAGGACUUCAAACUUCAGAUGGGUGGAGACCAACCACGGUCACGGCUGCAGCCACGCUGGAUGGACUCUGCCCCCUGUUCUGAGACGCAGCCCUGCUUGGCUCCUCGGCUUCCCACUCUCCGGGUCUGGCUUUCUGCGGAGUAGUUGCAGCCUUCACAGAAGAGUUUCCUAUCACAUGCUUCAGCCGACAACCUCAGAACAGCUGAGCCAGGCUGUCCCAUCCUGCACAGAUCCCAGCCACUGCCGGAGCAGCCCAUUCCCGAGACGGCAGAGGACACAGCUUUGGUGUGCAACAGGAUACCAAACCAUGGGCGUGUGAACCGCGCCGACCUAGCUGAAAUUAGGCAUAAUUAUUAAGUUCACCUUAUCAUGACCUUGCUUUCUCAGAUACUGUCAGUGUUAAUGUGAGCUGUUUGUGCAUACCAAGAGGGGAAUAAAGAUCUCAUACAUAAAUAUGCAUUCUUAUUUUCAUCAUUU
RNAcentral lists this long non-coding RNA (1456 nucleotides) under Chinchilla lanigera (long-tailed chinchilla). RNAcentral's name for it is "lncRNA (ENSCLAG00000026633.1)". The record is from RNAcentral. Lineage: Eukaryota; Metazoa; Chordata; Mammalia; Rodentia; Chinchillidae.